RNAcentral lists this transfer RNA (66 nucleotides) under Palaemon macrodactylus. RNAcentral describes it as "tRNA-Leu". Lineage: Eukaryota; Metazoa; Arthropoda; Malacostraca; Decapoda; Palaemonidae. The record is from RNAcentral.
AUUAUCUUGGCAGAUUUAUGCGCCGGAUUUAGAAUCCGUUAAUAUAGUGAUAAGCUAUAGAUAAUA